This 1551-nucleotide long non-coding RNA is filed under the name Salmo salar (Atlantic salmon). RNAcentral describes it as "lncRNA (ENSSSAG00000082986.1)". Lineage: Eukaryota; Metazoa; Chordata; Actinopteri; Salmoniformes; Salmonidae. The record is from RNAcentral.
AAGCUAGCUGUGAUCCACAAGCCCACUCCAUAACACUCCCACUGAAUCAUCGCUCUCACCGCUCUUAAUGAUAGAAAUGCUUCUCUGUUUACCAGGAAGCAAUGGGAGUGGGAGGCUGGCUGCCUGGCUGGGGGCACCAAUCAGGUUCAUCAAAUAGAAUUUUAGUGGAGCGAACGGGUACGCACUCUACCUUUUGAAGGUUUUGCUUGCUGGGAAAAUAGACAGCAUAAGAGACUGAUUUCAUCACCACCACCACCAGAGAGGUAUUCUUUAUCGGCUACAGGGAACUGAACCUGGAGGCUGUGGACCAAAGGCAUCAUGGAAAAAGCAAGGCUGCACUUCUCGCACACAAACCCCAAGGGCUCCAAGUCCCUGGAGAAUUGUAGAAUGCUGGGGAAAGGAGGGUACAUUACAUAAGUACAGUUGCGGCCAAAUAUAUUGGCAACCUUAGACUUUCCUUAAAUAACCUCACUUGGGAUUUGAACUCACAACCUCUCAGUUGCCAGUGACCUGAAUUUCCUGCUACACCACUGGCUUUGUGGGUUUGAUUAAGAUUGUUAAAAGAUUAGAACGAAUAGACAUUGUGAUUUGUCCCUAUGGGGGUACACUUUUGGGUGCCACGUAGAACACUUAGAUACUUUUUUUUUAUCCUGUAGGGGAAUAAUUUGGGAUAUACACAGAACCCUGUCAUGAAAAACCCUCUGGUUACAGAGUUAUGCAAUUUGUCCCUGUGGGGGAACCCUUAUGUGUGCCAUGUAGAACCCUUUGAUUUGUCCCUGUAGGGGAACCCUUUUGAGUUUUAUUUAGAACCCGAUCAUUAAGAACCCUCUGGUUCCAGGUAGAAGUAAUAACAGCUUCUAUUGUUAUGCUCAUAGGAUACUUCAUAUGUGCUUAUGGCACACAGUUAAAAAUUACCUGUAAAAUGACAUGUUGUUUACCUUACAUGCACUGCACUUUGUUUGAAAUGAAGGUGAGGGCAAUGUGCUGGUGGGGGCUCAUUAGCAUAUUUGGGGCCAUGGUCUAAAAUAUGUUGUAUUAGUGCCAACCAUUAGUGGAAGUGUUGAACCACUUUAAUUUUAUUGUUAUGUUGAUGAAGGUUGAGGGCUACAGCGAGGCGCAACGGUGGUAUGUACUGGGAGUUGCUGGUGCCGCUGCUGCUGCACAUUUGUCCACGCCCAGUGCAUACCACCAUUGCUCCUCGCCUUUGCCCUCGACCUUCAUCAACAUAACAAUAUGCUGAAAGGUGCAUACACUGCCACCUAUGGUACUGGAACAGAACAGCUACCACUAACUGUAUCGCCCUGGCCAUAGAGAGGGUUUUUUUGUUCUUUAUUUUGGUUAGGCCAGGGUGUUACAUUGGGUGGGCGUUCCAUGUUCCUUUUUCUAUGUUUUUGUAUUUCUUUGUUUUGGGCCGUGUGUGGCUCCCAAUCAGGCACAGCUGAAACUCGUUGUUGCUGAUUGGGAGUCACACAUAAGGAGCAUGUUUUUCCUUUGGGUUUUGUGGGUAAUUGUUUCUGUUAGUGUUUGCACCGGACAUGACUGUUGGCUGUC